GAGGAGUCAAACUGAACCGUCCAAGUUAGAAGCUUCGCCACAAGUAAGGAUCACUGCCACUUUGUUUGACAAGUAUGAUGGCUCUACAUACCCGAGCGAGCACAUCAAGAUUUCAUGAACCAGAUAGCAUUGUACACCACGAGCGACUCCAUAUGGUGUCGGGUUUUCUCCACCUCACUGAAAGGAGAAGCCCUAGCCUGGUUUUCUACGUUGUCGGCC
RNAcentral lists this long non-coding RNA (219 nucleotides) under Vigna radiata. RNAcentral's name for it is "long non-coding RNA (VRAD_LNC007109)". The record is from RNAcentral. Lineage: Eukaryota; Viridiplantae; Streptophyta; Magnoliopsida; Fabales; Fabaceae.